UACGUAGGGGGCAAGCGUUAUCCGGAUUUACUGGGUGUAAAGGGAGCGUAGACGGCAUGGCAAGCCAGAUGUGAAAGCCCGGGGCUCAACUCCGGGACUGCAUUUGGAACUGUCAGGCUAGAGUGUCGGAGAGGAAAGCGGAAUUCCUAGUGUAGCGGUGAAAUGCGUAGAUAUUAGGAGGAACACCAGUGGCGAAGGCGGCUUUCUGGACGAUGACUGACGUUGAGGCUCGAAAGCGUGGGGAGCAAACAGG
This 253-nucleotide ribosomal RNA is filed under the name Mediterraneibacter gnavus ATCC 29149. Its description in RNAcentral is "[Ruminococcus] gnavus ATCC 29149 partial 16S ribosomal RNA". It matches the Rfam family "Bacterial small subunit ribosomal RNA", at positions 524 to 776 of the family's 1533-position model. Lineage: Bacteria; Bacillati; Bacillota; Clostridia; Lachnospirales; Lachnospiraceae. The record is from RNAcentral.